CGGACGGGUGAGUAACACGUGGAUAACCUACCUAUAAGACUGGGAUAACUUCGGGAAACCGGAGCUAAUACCGGAUAAUAUAUUGAACCGCAUGGUUCAAUGGUGAAAGACGGUUUUGCUGUCACUUAUAGAUGGAUCCGCGCCGCAUUGGCUAGUUGGUAAGGUAACGGCUUACCAAGGCAACGAUGCGUAGCCGACCUGAGAGGGUGAUCGGCCACACUGGAACUGAGACACGGUCCAGACUCCUACGGGAGGCAGCAGAU
This 263-nucleotide ribosomal RNA is filed under the name uncultured Staphylococcus sp. RNAcentral describes it as "partial 16S ribosomal RNA". It matches the Rfam family "Bacterial small subunit ribosomal RNA", at positions 99 to 354 of the family's 1533-position model. Lineage: Bacteria; Bacillati; Bacillota; Bacilli; Caryophanales; Staphylococcaceae. The record is from RNAcentral.